Anas platyrhynchos (mallard) is the source of this 319-nucleotide long non-coding RNA. RefSeq lists it as uncharacterized. Lineage: Eukaryota; Metazoa; Chordata; Aves; Anseriformes; Anatidae. The record is from RefSeq and is a predicted model, not a curated record.
CGGUGGGGCCGUGGCUGCUGAGGGGUCUUUUCCUGCCGGGGGGGCCGGGAGCGGCGCUGAGGCCGAGAAGCCUCAGCCCCCUCAGUCAAUGCACAGCAUGCCAUGGGAACUUCUCUCAUCUCUGCUUGCUUUUAGAUUAUGACAACAAGCUCGGUUCGCCUGGUUUGGAUCCUGCUUUGGAGCCUCAAGAGGAUCCCCGAGGCAGUGUUGGUGAAGUGCCUCCGUGGAAUCCUGCUCCUGAGCCUGCCAGCAUGGGUCCCACAGGUGCAGUUCUCGCAGGCACUGGCUACUCGACACCUCAGCUUGAUGUGGUCCACGG